Molecule: ribosomal RNA, 465 nt
Filed under: uncultured bacterium
Lineage: Bacteria
Description: bacterial SSU rRNA
Rfam family: Bacterial small subunit ribosomal RNA
Source: RNAcentral
UUACGGGAGGCAGCAGUCGAGAAUUUUUCACAAUGGGCGCAAGCCUGAUGGAGCGACGCCGCGUGGGGGAUGAAUGGCUUCGGCCCGUAAACCCCUGUCAUUUGCGAUCAAACCGCAUUAUUUAAAAGAUGAUGCGCUGAUAGUAGCGAAAGAGGAAGGGACGGCUAACUCUGUGCCAGCAGCCGCGGUAAUACAGAGGUCCCGAGCGUUGUUCGGAUUUACUGGGCGUAAAGGGUGCGUAGGUGGUGAGGUAAGUCGGAUGUGAAAUCUCGGAGCUCAACUCCGAAACGGCAUUGGAAACUACCUUGCUAGAGGGUUGGAGGGGGGACUGGAAUUCUCGGUGUAGCAGUGAAAUGCGUAGAUAUCGAGAGGAACACCAGUGGCGAAGGCGAGUCCCUGGACAACACCUGACACUGAGGCACGAAAGCUAGGGGAGCAAACAGGAUUAGAUACCCCAGUAGUCCG